UAAAUGCAACCCUAUGCGGUGGAUCACUUGGCUCGCGAGUCGAUGAAGAGCGCAGCAAACUGCGUGAAUUAAUGUGAUUUGCAGGACACAUUGAUCAUCGAUAUCUUGAACGCAUAUUGCGGUUAUGGAUCGCUUCCAUGACCACGCCUGUCUGAGGGUCGGUAUU
Molecule: ribosomal RNA, 166 nt
Filed under: Brachionus calyciflorus
Lineage: Eukaryota; Metazoa; Rotifera; Eurotatoria; Ploima; Brachionidae
Description: 5.8S ribosomal RNA
Rfam family: 5.8S ribosomal RNA
About the family: 5.8S ribosomal RNA (5.8S rRNA) is a component of the large subunit of the eukaryotic ribosome.
Source: RNAcentral